RNAcentral lists this ribosomal RNA (834 nucleotides) under Bacillus sp. (in: firmicutes). RNAcentral describes it as "bacterial SSU rRNA". It matches the Rfam family "Bacterial small subunit ribosomal RNA", at positions 91 to 910 of the family's 1533-position model. Lineage: Bacteria; Bacillati; Bacillota; Bacilli; Caryophanales; Bacillaceae. The record is from RNAcentral.
GUUAGCGGCGGACGGGUGAGUAACACGUGGGUAACCUGCCUGUAAGACUGGGAUAACUCCGGGAAACCGGAGCUAAUACCGGAUAGUUCCUUGAACCGCAUGGUUCAAGGAUGAAAGACGGUUUCGGCUGUCACUUACAGAUGGACCCGCGGCGCAUUAGCUAGUUGGUGGGGUAAUGGCUCACCAAGGCGACGAUGCGUAGCCGACCUGAGAGGGUGAUCGGCCACACUGGGACUGAGACACGGCCCAGACUCCUACGGGAGGCAGCAGUAGGGAAUCUUCCGCAAUGGACGAAAGUCUGACGGAGCAACGCCGCGUGAGUGAUGAAGGUUUUCGGAUCGUAAAGCUCUGUUGUUAGGGAAGAACAAGUGCGAGAGUAACUGCUCGCACCUUGACGGUACCUAACCAGAAAGCCACGGCUAACUACGUGCCAGCAGCCGCGGUAAUACGUAGGUGGCAAGCGUUGUCCGGAAUUAUUGGGCGUAAAGGGCUCGCAGGCGGUUUCUUAAGUCUGAUGUGAAAGCCCCCGGCUCAACCGGGGAGGGUCAUUGGAAACUGGGAAACUUGAGUGCAGAAGAGGAGAGUGGAAUUCCACGUGUAGCGGUGAAAUGCGUAGAGAUGUGGAGGAACACCAGUGGCGAAGGCGACUCUCUGGUCUGUAACUGACGCUGAGGAGCGAAAGCGUGGGGAGCGAACAGGAUUAGAUACCCUGGUAGUCCACGCCGUAAACGAUGAGUGCUAAGUGUUAGGGGGUUUCCGCCCCUUAGUGCUGCAGCUAACGCAUUAAGCACUCCGCCUGGGGAGUACGGUCGCAAGACUGAAACUCAAAGGAAU